GCACGGAUUAGCCGCAUCCUUAUUCUACAGUACCGCUCAAACUGGUUCACGAACCAGUGUUUCUUCCUGUACAAAAGCAGUUUACAAUCCAUAGGACCGUCAUCCUGCACGCGGCAUGGCUGGAUCAGGCUUGCGCCCAUUGUCCAAUAUUCCUCA
RNAcentral lists this ribosomal RNA (156 nucleotides) under uncultured bacterium. RNAcentral describes it as "partial 16S ribosomal RNA". The record is from RNAcentral.